This is a microRNA precursor of Haplochromis burtoni (Burton's mouthbrooder), 63 nucleotides long. The record is from Ensembl. NCBI's taxonomy places the organism in Eukaryota, Metazoa, Chordata, Actinopteri, Cichliformes, Cichlidae.
AAAUGUAGUAGACUUUAAGUAUACAUGUGGAACUGGGGAGUAUACUAAGUACACUACGUUUAU